Long non-coding RNA from Sebastes umbrosus (honeycomb rockfish), 505 nucleotides. RefSeq lists it as uncharacterized. Lineage: Eukaryota; Metazoa; Chordata; Actinopteri; Perciformes; Sebastidae. The record is from RefSeq and is a predicted model, not a curated record. The transcript is spliced from 3 exons.
GAGUUGUUGAUCCAUCGUACUCAGAGAAAGCAGAAUAAAGAUAUCCCGGAUAAGAGAGAAAGCGAUCCUUGACCUAGUCUAGUCAGUUCAUCCUGGCUUAAUUGGUUUCACGAAGGACAAGACAGGCUGAGGAGGAGAGACUAGGUUGAACCAGGCUGAAGAGGAGAGACUAGGUUGAACCAGGCUGAGGAGAGACUAGGUUGAACCAGGCUGAAGAGGAGAGACUAGGUUGAACCAGGCUGAAGAGGAGAGACUAGGUUGAACCAGACUGAAGAGGAGAGACUAGGUUGAACCAGGCUGAGGAGGAGAGACUAGGUUGAACCAGACUGAAGAGGAGAGACUAGGUUGAACCAGGCUGAGGAGGAGAGACUAGGUUGAACCAGGCUGAAGAGGAGAGACUAGGUUGAACCAGACUGAGGAGAGACUAGGUUGAACCAGGCUGAAGAGGAGAGACUAGGUUGAACCAGGCUGAAGAGGAGAGACUAGGUUGAACCAGGCUGAGGAG